GACGAACGCUGGCGGCGUGCUUAACACAUGCAAGUCGAACGGAAAGGCCCUGCUUUUGUGGGGUGCUCGAGUGGCGAACGGGUGAGUAACACGUGAGUAACCUGCCCUGGACUUUGGGAUAACUUCAGGAAACUGGGGCUAAUACCGGAUAGGAGCUCCUGCUGCAUGGUGGGGGUUGGAAAGUUUCGGCGGUUGGGGAUGGACUCGCGGCUUAUCAGCUUGUUGGUGGGGUAGUGGCUUACCAAGGCUUUGACGGGUAGCCGGCCUGAGAGGGUGACCGGCCACAUUGGGACUGAGAUACGGCCCAGACUCCUACGGGAGGCAGCAGUGGGGAAUAUUGCACAAUGGGCGGAAGCCUGAUGCAGAAACGCCGCGUGCGGGAUGACGGCCUUCGGGUUGUAAACCGCUUUCGCCUGUGACGAAGCGUGAGUGACGGUAAUGGGUAAAGAAGCACCGGCUAACUACGUG
Molecule: ribosomal RNA, 468 nt
Filed under: uncultured bacterium
Lineage: Bacteria
Description: partial 16S ribosomal RNA
Rfam family: Bacterial small subunit ribosomal RNA
Source: RNAcentral